Molecule: long non-coding RNA, 329 nt
Organism: Morus notabilis
Lineage: Eukaryota; Viridiplantae; Streptophyta; Magnoliopsida; Rosales; Moraceae
Exons: 3
Source: RefSeq, a predicted model, not a curated record
CCUCAUUGUUUGUAAGUUUUAUUGUUGAAGAUUGAAGGCUAAACCUAAUGUAAAGAAAUGGAGGCACACUGAGAUCCAAUAUUAUGACAAAUUAAGUGAGAGUUUUGCAAAUGAUAGAGCUAAUCGUGAUGCUGCUGCUAGUGCAAAAUAGAAAGUUUGACAAUGGCAGAGGGAAACUAACUCCAACCAAUCUGUCAGUGUUGAACAGUUUGAUGAGCAAAUUAUAUAGGGGACAACCGUGGGAUGCUACAAGACUUCAUAUACACGGGGACAAGAACUUCAAUUAGCAUGUUACUGUAACUAGUUGCUAUUUUGUUGUAUUUAAACCU